GAUGAACGCUGGCGGCGUGCCUAAUACAUGCAAGUCGAACGAGGAGUCUUUGUAGCAAUACGAGGAUAUCCUAGUGGCGAACGGGUGAGUAACGCGUUGGUGACCUGCCCCGAAGUGAGGGAUAACAGUUCGAAAGGGCUGCUAAUACCUCAUGUGGUCACGAGAGUUAGAGAUCUCGUGUCUAAAGGAGCAAUCCGCUUUGGGGAGGGGCCUGCGUCCCAUCAGCUAGUUGGUAAGGUAAUGGCUUACCAAGGCGACGACGGGUAGGGGACCUGAGAGGGGUGACCCCCCACAAUGGAACUGAAACACGGUCCAUACACCUACGGGUGGCAG
This 333-nucleotide ribosomal RNA is filed under the name uncultured Chloroflexota bacterium. RNAcentral's name for it is "bacterial SSU rRNA". It matches the Rfam family "Bacterial small subunit ribosomal RNA", at positions 28 to 351 of the family's 1533-position model. Lineage: Bacteria; Bacillati; Chloroflexota. The record is from RNAcentral.